Molecule: ribosomal RNA, 497 nt
Filed under: uncultured bacterium
Lineage: Bacteria
Description: partial 16S ribosomal RNA
Rfam family: Bacterial small subunit ribosomal RNA
Source: RNAcentral
GAUGAACGCUGGCGGCGUGCCUAAUACAUGCAAGUCGAGCGAACGGACGAGAAGCUUGCUUCUCUGAUGUUAGCGGCGGACGGGUGAGUAACACGUGGAUAACCUACCUAUAAGACUGGGAUAACUUCGGGAAACCGGAGCUAAUACCGGAUGAUAUUUUGAACCGCAUGGUUCAAAAGUGAAAGACGGUCUUGCUGUCACUUAUAGAUGGAUCCGCGCUGCAUUAGCUAGUUGGUAAGGUAACGGCUUACCAAGGCAACGAUGCAUAGCCGACCUGAGAGGGUGAUCGGCCACACUGGAACUGAGACACGGUCCAGACUCCUACGGGAGGCAGCCGUAGGGAAUCUUCCGCAAUGGGCGAAAGCCUGGCGGAGCAACGCCGCGUGAGUGAUGAAGGUCUUCCGAUCGUAAAACUCUGUUAUUAGGGAAGAACAUAUGUGUAAGUAACUGUGCACAUCUUGACGGUACCUAAUCAGAAAGCCACGGCUAACUACGUG